Camelina sativa (false flax) is the source of this 438-nucleotide non-coding RNA. The record is from RefSeq and is a predicted model, not a curated record. Lineage: Eukaryota; Viridiplantae; Streptophyta; Magnoliopsida; Brassicales; Brassicaceae.
AUUCAAUCUAGAUUAGAUUGUGUUCGAUCAGAUCAUAAUUUUUUUUAUAUAGUCUUCACAAUUCAGCCAAGAAAGCUGUGUAAGAAAGAUCUCAAGCCUUUAGAUUUAUUGUUAGUGUGAUCUUUGGGUGAGAGUAGACAUCUGUUUUGGAUCUUGCAUAAGGUAACUGGGAGCUGGGGAAGAUUUUGAAAACUUCAGGAGAAGAGUCUGUUCUUGCCUUACCUGAGGGAAAAGUUUUAAAAGUCAAAACAGAGACUCUAGUGCCUGCAAAUCAUGAUAUUCUCGAUGGAGUAGAUGAUCUUAUGCAACUAAGUUACUUAAAUGAGCCAGCAGUGAGGUAAAAAUUCUUCUUUAGCUCAUAUGCUUCUCUAUAUCUGGUCUCGCUUCUUCUGCCUCUCGGUUUAUGUGACAAUGUACCUCAAUGAUUGUCAAAGAACU